GACGAACGCCGGCGGCGUGCCUAAUACAUGCAAGUCGAGCGGACUUAAAAAGCUUGCUUUUUAAGUUAGCGGCGGACGGGUGAGUAACACGUGGGCAACCUGCCUGUAAGACUGGGAUAACUUCGGGAAACCGGAGCUAAUACCGGAUAAUCCUUUCCUACUCAUGUAGGAAAGCUGAAAGACGGUUUACGCUGUCACUUACAGAUGGGCCCGCGGCGCAUUAGCUAGUUGGUGAGGUAACGGCUCACCAAGGCGACGAUGCGUAGCCGACCUGAGAGGGUGAGCGGCCACACAGGGACUGAGACACGGCCCAGACUCCUACGGGAGGCAGCAGUAGGGAAUCUUCCGCAAUGGACGAAAGUCUGACGGAGCAACGCCGCGUGAGUGAUGAAGGUUUUCGGAUCGUAAAACUCUGUUGUUAGGGAAGAACAAGUACGAGAGUAACUGCUCGUACCUUGACGGUACCUAACCAGAAAGCCACGGCUAACUACGUGCCAGCAGCCGCAGUAA
RNAcentral lists this ribosomal RNA (510 nucleotides) under uncultured bacterium. RNAcentral's name for it is "partial 16S ribosomal RNA". It matches the Rfam family "Bacterial small subunit ribosomal RNA", at positions 28 to 523 of the family's 1533-position model. The record is from RNAcentral.